Molecule: ribosomal RNA, 472 nt
Filed under: uncultured bacterium
Lineage: Bacteria
Description: partial 16S ribosomal RNA
Rfam family: Bacterial small subunit ribosomal RNA
Source: RNAcentral
AUCAACGCUGGCGGCGCACAUAAGACCUGCAAGUUGCACGGACUUAAUCGAAAUAUUUAUAUUUUGAAGCGGUUAGUGGCGGACUGGUGAGUAACGCGUAAGGAACCUGCCUAUUAGAGGGGAAUAACAGUGAGAAAUCAUUGCUAAUACCGCAUAUGCCAUAGAUAUCACAUGAUAACAGUGGGAAAGGAGCAAUCCGCUAAUAGAUGGCCUUGCGUCUGAUUAGAUAGUUGGUGGGGUAACGGCCUACCAAGUCGACGAUCAGUAGCCGGACUGAGAGGUUGAACGGCCACAUUGGGACUGAGAUACGGCCCAGACUCCUACGGGAGGCAGCAGUCGGGAAUAUUGCGCAAUGGAGGAAACUCUGACGCAGUGACGCCGCGUAUAGGAAGAAGGUUUUCGGAUUGUAAACUAUUGUCGUUAGGGAAGAGAAAGGACAGUACCUAAGGAGGAAGCUCCGGCUAACUACGUG